CCUAAAUACACUAAUUAAAGUAAAUCUACUUACUACCUUAUAAGGAACCGUCAUACCGAACGUGACCUUCACAACAUCAAAGUGUGUAAAUAAAAUAAAUGAAAAACUCCAUGACGACACCCUAAACCUUUUUAAAAGUCCUAUUUUGGUCCCCAAAGUAGCAAAAUUCCCAGUGUAUCUAAUAUAUAAGAUAAUAAUAAUAAUAAUGCCUGAAGACAUUUGCUACCCGAUCCAGUACGUGCCCUACUGUUUGCCAGGGAUGCCAGAGCAGAUAAUUUACACCCAACUGCCGGGACAGCCCAUGUUUAUUAAGCCCUUCUGUAUGAGUCCCACCCCCUGUCCUGACCCGUGUGCUAAUAAACAUAACCCCAAGAACGGAGAAUCCGGGGGUAGGAACGGAAAUGAGGCCAGUAAGAAGUGCUAGUUUUGUGAUGUCAGUCUUAAUAAAUGGUGGAAUUUAUUCGGUGUUUUAUUUGCCUUAAAGAUUUCAUUAGUAGAGGGUUUUAAUGGAGAAAAUUUUUCCAGGCAGUUGAAGCCGGAAUAAUAAUGUUUUGGAAUUUGCAAUUAUUUGGAAAAAAUGAAGAAGAUUCUUCUAGGCAGUUGAGGCCAGUUCCAUGACUACAUACCUGGGAAAAUGCAUCUAGAAUAAGGAACUGAAUUUCCCUAAAAUUAAAGUAUCAACUGCCGAGACUGUACAACUGAGAGACCGUAGGUAAUCUCCUCAUCGACGUCGAUGGUAGUAAAAAAGUUGUCACGUUUCACAUUUUAUCUGAUAUAAUUUUAUUUAUUCAUGUUGUAUAAUAUGUUUUUUUUCUGUCAAUAAACUACGUAUUAAAAUUAAUACAA
Long non-coding RNA from Anthonomus grandis grandis, 846 nucleotides. RefSeq lists it as uncharacterized. The record is from RefSeq and is a predicted model, not a curated record. The transcript is spliced from 2 exons. NCBI's taxonomy places the organism in Eukaryota, Metazoa, Arthropoda, Insecta, Coleoptera, Curculionidae.